This 64-nucleotide small nuclear RNA is filed under the name Arabidopsis thaliana (thale cress). RNAcentral's name for it is "U5 snRNA". It matches the Rfam family "U5 spliceosomal RNA", at positions 1 to 63 of the family's 117-position model. Rfam says of the family: U5 RNA is a component of both types of known spliceosome. The precise function of this molecule is unknown, though it is known that the 5' loop is required for splice site selection and p220 binding, and that both the 3' stem-loop and the Sm site are important for Sm protein binding and cap methylation. Lineage: Eukaryota; Viridiplantae; Streptophyta; Magnoliopsida; Brassicales; Brassicaceae. The record is from RNAcentral.
GGAGCCGUGUGGUGAGCACAAAGCGAACUAUUCUUUCGCCUUUUACUAAAGAAUACCGUGUGCU